AGUGAACGCUGGCGGUAGACCUAACACAUGCAAGUCGAACGGCAGCACAGUAAGAGCUUGCUCUUACGGGUGGCGAGUGGCGGACGGGUGAGGAAUACAUCGGAAUCUACUUUUUCGUGGGGGAUAACGUAGGGAAACUUACGCUAAUACCGCAUACGAUCUACGGGUGAAAGCAGGGGAUCUUCGGACCUUGCGCGAUUGAAUGAGCCGAUGUCGGAUUAGCUAGUUGGCGGGGUAAAGGCCCACCAAGGCGACGAUCCGUAGCUGAUCUGAGAGGAUGAUCAGCCACACUGGAACUGAGACACGGUCCAGACUCCUACGGGAGGCAGCAGUGGGGAAUAUUGGACAAUGGGCGCAAGCCUGAUCCAGCCAUACCGCGUGGGUGAAGAAGGCCUUCGGGUUGUAAAGCCCUUUUGUUGGGAAAGAAAAGCAGCAGGUUAAUACCCCGCUGUUCUGACGGUACCCAAAGAAUAAGCACCGGCUAACUUCGUG
RNAcentral lists this ribosomal RNA (492 nucleotides) under uncultured bacterium. RNAcentral's name for it is "partial 16S ribosomal RNA". It matches the Rfam family "Bacterial small subunit ribosomal RNA", at positions 29 to 507 of the family's 1533-position model. The record is from RNAcentral.